CCCAAAUUAAAACUGAAUUGGUACUAUUUCUCAUCUUCUCGUUGGUCAUCUAAAGCUUCACAACACUGAAAGAGAAAAAGAUUAUGGGGUUCAAGAAGUGAGAAUCUUAAUCACCCCCAAAAUGAAAUUAACCCUUUAAAGAUCCAUGGUCCAGGUAUUGUUGAGCAACAAUCUUUAUUUGGGUCAAGAAAUUAUGGGUCAUUCUGAAACUGAAGAGACCAUUUCCUCAGUGGAUUUACAUGGAUGGCUCUAAGCUCACCUUCUUGUACACACAUUGAUGGGGUGAAAAAGCUAAAAGGACUCAGAUAUAGGAAUAUGUCAUCUCAAAUUGUGGGAAAGUUCAGUCAAAAUAAUCAAGAUAUCUCACAAGAGUUCCAGCUUCCAUCCGCAUAUGAAUCUGCCAUGGAAGCUCUUUCGACUCUCAUUACUCAGAAAAAAAGAAAUGGCACAUCAGCCAUUAGUGGUCCAAACCAGAAAUUGGACAGAAUGUUAAGGUACAUUAAGGUAGUGCCAUUUCUAGCUGAGACUGUUUCUCCUUUAUACUUGCAUCAAAGUGCAUCUUGCUGGUAUUGGUCUUGCCUUUUUGUUUAUGUCACAAACUUAUUGAAAUAACGAAAUUAGUGUUGUUUGUCUUUAAAAUAUCUGCUAUUUGUCUUCAGCCGAAGAGUCCAUAAAUGCGCACAAAAGGUGUUUACCAUAUUGUUCCUAGCUGCUUCUUUCUUCUGUACUUCCCAACUUCGAAAAGUCUUAAUUAGUGAUUUUGGCAUUGCUUGCCAGCUGCACUCCGAGAACGAUCGAGGAAUAAGCAUCAGGACUGCCAUGUCUUGCUGCAAUUUAUAAAUAAGUUGUUUGGGGGACUUGGAGCACAUUCACACGUGUAGGAUCUGUUGCAAAGGAAGUAAUCUUUGUGUAUAGACAUGUUUACUGCAUAGCGAACCAUCUAAAGAAGGUUGAUUUAUGGGGUGGGGUUUUUUGUCUUCGGAAUCAUUUUAGGCCUCUGUAUUACUCCCUCCUCUGCUUUAAUAAACAUUUAUAACAAAAUGCACUUUAAACUUCCCUUCAUUCUUCAUUUUCUUGUACAAGGUGUUGCCUCAGAAGAUGUAGUUUCUUAUUCUCACACCUUUAGAAGAAGCAGUGACACUCUUAAUCUUCCACUCCUUAAGAUGUCUUGUGAUGCUAAUUUGCCACCCAUUUUCAUCUCUGCUAUCUGCAGUUAUGGCAUCUUUUUUCAAUUCCAAGUAUGCAAAUCUGGAAUUUAUUCUUUGAGAGCGCAGUGCGCUCUAUCCACAGUUCUUAGCAUAGUCUUAUCUUGCUUUCCGUUGCUCCCUUAGGCCUUACUAUACAAAUGAUACCCAGUCAUCUAUACAAAUUAGAACCUUAUAGGUGCACCAAAAGGAAAUGAGGGGAAAAUGACUAUUCUUCAAGAUACGAUAAGCAUAUGAAAAAGUAGAAUUAUUAUGUAAAGACAUGGUCCUGGGGCCUAACUCAACCUCAUAAGCUAGCUCACGACGGAGGAUUGCCCAAGUUCAUAUAAGCUGACUACGUGUUCAUUCUCAACCUCUAACCCACUCUAACAAUGUACAAAAGCAAAUUUCAAACAAGGCCUGAUUAUUGCUUAUUCAACCACAAUCAAAAUACAAUUUAAGAAGAUACAAGAGCUCAAGAAAAAAGCAGAAUGAAAUGCUGAUAGAGGUACACAGUCUGUCCAUUUCUAACUCUGAAUGCCUGCGAGGACAGUCUGAAUUACUGUCGUACUUACCGUGAAAGUAACAGCAAGGAACACAAUGAAAUUCCAGGGAUCAUUAAGGAUUUCCAAUUUGAAACUAUCCCGGAAGGAUUGCCACCAUCAGAUCGCAAUUCAACUCAAGAUCCUGUUUCGUUAUGUCACUCGCUUAGGAAGAACUGCUUGACUCCUUUUCGUAAUUUACUAUCAAAGUUUAUUUCAUCACCCGCCGUUCCACCAAUUUCUUGUGUAAUAUCAGAUGGGGUGAUGAGCUUCGCCAUUAAGGCUGCACAAGAAUUUGGCAUUCUUGAUGUCCAAUUUUGGACAGCCUCAGCUUGUGGUUUUAUGGGAUACCUUCAAUUUGAUGAACUAAGAAGAAGAGGGAUUAUCCCGUUUAAAGAUGACAGUUUCAUGGAGGAUGGUACACUGGAUACAAUUAUCGAUGGGAUUCCAGGAAUGAGAAACAUUAGGUUGAAGGAUUUGCAAAGCUGUAUCAGGACUACUGAUCCACAUGAUAUUCUGUUAAACUAUUUAAGUGAUGAAGCACAAAAUUGCUUGAAAUCUUCUGCAAUAAUUAUCAACACAUUCACUGAACUAGAACGUGAAGUCUAUCUCCAAAUGCCUACUCAAUUAAUAAUGAUGGAUCUUUCAUGCA
This is an RNA transcript of Solanum tuberosum (potato), 2378 nucleotides long. It is a transcript of the gene named 7-deoxyloganetin glucosyltransferase-like, with no coding region annotated. The transcript is spliced from 4 exons. Lineage: Eukaryota; Viridiplantae; Streptophyta; Magnoliopsida; Solanales; Solanaceae. The record is from RefSeq and is a predicted model, not a curated record.